AUGGCGGCCGCGCCCGCUCAAGUUCUUCCGCCGGCCAAGAGGUGGAAGAAGGACCCCAAUUUCCUGGAAACCUCACCGGUCCAUCCGGCCAAUGCGGUGACCGCAGACUGGCCCUCGCUCCCGCCCGACAUCGUCCGCCACAUCGCCGACUCCUUCCUCGCCACCAACGACCUAGAUUGGUACGUGGACCUGCGCGCCGUCUGCCACAACUGGCGCUCCGCCACCGACGACCCCAAGGACAGCACCUCGGACCCCCGGUUCCUGCUUCGCCGGUGGAUUAUCCUCGACGAGGUCUUCCAGAGUGACAUGCGCCGCCUCUUGGUCAACACCGCCACUGGCCGGUUCCUCCACAAGGAGCUCCACGCGCUCCGCCACUACCACGUGGUCGCCACCACUCUCUGCGGCCUCUUCGUCCUGGCCGACAGGAGCCCUCCUCACGCCGCUCGUGUCUUCAACCCUCUCACCGGCGAUAUCAUCCGUUUCGCGGUGCCCGUGCCGCCCGAGGUGCAGGUCACCGCCGCCGUCUGCUUUGACUUCUCUUCGCCCUUGCUCUCCUUGUUCUUCGACUCAUGUUGCAAGAUGCACAUAGCCAGUCCUCACAGUUCUGACGCCCAAGUCUAUGACUUUGACCCUUCAGUUUACAGUUUCUUUCGUAGGGCGGUCGGAGGUGGUUUGGUCGGCCGUUGGUGGGAAUUUGCCGGAACAACUGACUUGGCUCUCAAGAUCUGCAAAGUGGGGCAGUCGCUUGGCGUCAAUCUGUCGAAGUUUUUUUCUGGUGCCCGGUGUUUACCAAUGGAAUUUGUUGGACAGAUGCUGAUCAUCAUCAAGGGACAACAAUUCUUCCAUGUCUUAAGAUUCAAAACCGAGAGCGCCGAGCUUUUGCAUGUGGAGACCAUCUGCAACCAUGCCAUCUUCAUUGGUCGUCAUAGGUGCCUUGCUGUGGAUGCUCACAUGUUUCCAUCCAUAGAGGCAAACUGUAUCUACUACACUGAACACCAGGGCUCGUCUGCCCACAUCUGGAAGUACAACAUCAAGGACCGAAAAGCAGACAGGAUCUCAGAAGCUGUCGAUUUUGUGAAGCAGGACAAGCAGUUUGUCCUGAUCGGCGACCGUCCUUCCACGAUCAUCCAGCUUCUGUCGAGCUACACCAUCAGCACCCGGGAUUCUGAAAUGGCUGGCGCCGUUAAACUUGAUGAUUGA
RNAcentral lists this ribosomal RNA (1200 nucleotides) under Triticum aestivum (bread wheat). RNAcentral describes it as "partial small subunit ribosomal RNA". Lineage: Eukaryota; Viridiplantae; Streptophyta; Magnoliopsida; Poales; Poaceae. The record is from RNAcentral.